AUGCAAGUAUGGUACAAGUAUGCCUGUAUAUUGAAAGUUGUACUACCUCAUUUAACAUUUGCUGUGACAGAUUGAAAGUUGUACUACCUCAUUUAACAUUUGCUGUGACAGAUUGAAAGUUGUACUACCUCAUUGAACAUUUGCUGUGACAGAUUGAAAGUUGUACUACCUCAUUGAACAUUUGCUGUGACUCAUCAGAAAUCUGAAUCUCCAGCCUGUAAGAGAGAGAGAGUCUAAUGUGAGCUUGUAAAAACCGGUUGGGUGAUUCACAAAUUUUCGGAGGAAUAUUGAAACAACUAUGUGGCAGAGCACAGAAUGAUGUUCACAUCUUCUAGUACUUAAUUAAAAACUUUUCAACUUAAAGAAAAGGGGGCGAUGUAGUUACUUGUAUAUUCUAUCAAAUGAUGGCUGAUGAGCAGUUACCCCUCACGCCGCCAGAGAACACUACACGUGUGCCGAUCUCAGGCUAUUAAUAGGGGAAAAAAGAGUAGAGUUCAGUAGAGACAAUGACGUCCACGAAGUGGAUCAAUGUGUCUCAACAUGUAAUCAAUGGCUAGAUUUAAUACAGUCAGUAUAAAACACAAAUUCAUUAGUUGCCUAUUUUAGCACAUUUUUUUUUACAUUUCCUUACCAUUUAUAUGUAAGUCACUUAUCAUCCUGAAAAGGACAUGUAUAUAAUUAAGUAUCAUGCAAUAAUUUAAUACUUACUCUUUCACUAAUUUGUCUUUAUGCUAUCUAUAUAAUUAGUUACUAAGAGUAGUAUCUCAACAUGUAAUCAAUGGCUUGAUUUAACACAGCUGGUAUAAAACACUAAUUCAUUAGUUCUAUAUUUAAUCAUACUGUUUUACAUUUCCUGGCCAUUUAUAUA
Molecule: long non-coding RNA, 868 nt
Organism: Limulus polyphemus (Atlantic horseshoe crab)
Lineage: Eukaryota; Metazoa; Arthropoda; Merostomata; Xiphosura; Limulidae
Exons: 3
Source: RefSeq, a predicted model, not a curated record